UCGAGGAUCUUCGGCAAUGGGCGCAAGCCUGACCGAGCGAGGCCGCGUGGGCGAUGAAGGCCUUCGGGUUGUAAAGCCCUGUCGAGGGGGAGAAAAGCCGAAAGGUGUGAUCUAUCCCUGGAGGAAGCACGGGCUAAGUUCGUGCCAGCAGCCGCGGUAAGACGAACCGUGCGAACGUUGUUCGGAAUCACUGGGCUUAAAGGGCGCGUAGGCGGGCUGUCAAGUCCGGGGUGAAAUCCUCCAGCUCAACUGGAGAAUGGCCUCGGAUACUGAUGGUCUCGAGGAGGAUAGGGGCACACGGAACUGUGGGUGGAGCGGUGAAAUGCGUUGAUAUCCACAGGAACUCCGGUGGCGAAAGCGGUGUGCUGGAUCCUUUCUGACGCUGAUGCGCGAAAGCCAGGGGAGCAAACGGGAUUAGAUACCCCCGUAGUCC
This 433-nucleotide ribosomal RNA is filed under the name uncultured bacterium. RNAcentral describes it as "bacterial SSU rRNA". It matches the Rfam family "Bacterial small subunit ribosomal RNA", at positions 355 to 796 of the family's 1533-position model. The record is from RNAcentral.